UAGAGUGUUACAACUCCCUAAACCAUUGUGAACCUACCUAAGUUGCUUCGGCGGGCUCGCCCCGGUGCCCCCGUGCCCGGAAUCGGCGCCCGCCGGAGGCCCCAAACUCUCGGUUUUAUACUUGGCUUCUGAGUGGCGUAAAGCAAACAAAUAAAUCA
This 158-nucleotide unclassified non-coding RNA is filed under the name uncultured fungus. RNAcentral's name for it is "sequence contains ITS1, 5.8S rRNA gene". The record is from RNAcentral. Lineage: Eukaryota; Fungi.